UACUCCUGGGCGAGUCGGAUGAGCUCCGACC
Molecule: small RNA, 31 nt
Filed under: Bombyx mori (domestic silkworm)
Lineage: Eukaryota; Metazoa; Arthropoda; Insecta; Lepidoptera; Bombycidae
Description: ovarian small RNA-21378
Source: RNAcentral